AGCGUAGGCGGACAUUUAAGUCAGGGGUGAAAUCCCGGGGCUCAACCUCGGAAUUGCCUUUGAUACUGGGUGUCUUGAGUAUGAGAGAGGUGUGUGGAACUCCGAGUGUAGAGGUGAAAUUCGUGGAUAUUCGGAAGAACACCAGUGGCGAAGGCGACACACUGGCUCAUUACUGACGCUGAGGCUCGAAAGCGUGGGGAGCAAACA
Molecule: ribosomal RNA, 207 nt
Filed under: uncultured bacterium
Lineage: Bacteria
Description: partial 16S ribosomal RNA
Rfam family: Bacterial small subunit ribosomal RNA
Source: RNAcentral